CAGUAGCCGCGGUAAUACGUAGGGUGCGAGCGUUAAUCGGAAUUACUGGGCGUAAAGCGUGCGCAGGCGGUUGUGUAAGACAGGUGUGAAAUCCCCGGGCUUAACCUGGGAACUGCGCUUGUGACUGCACAGCUAGAGUAUGGCAGAGGGGGGUGGAAUUCCACGUGUAGCAGUGAAAUGCGUAGAGAUGUGGAGGAACACCGAUGGCGAAGGCAGCCCCCUGGGCCAAUACUGACGCUCAUGCGCGAAAGCGUGGGGAGCAAACAGGAUUAGAUACCCCCGUAGUCCCUGUCUCUUAUAC
Molecule: ribosomal RNA, 301 nt
Filed under: uncultured bacterium
Lineage: Bacteria
Description: partial 16S ribosomal RNA
Rfam family: Bacterial small subunit ribosomal RNA
Source: RNAcentral